Molecule: transfer RNA, 74 nt
Filed under: Loxodonta africana (African savanna elephant)
Lineage: Eukaryota; Metazoa; Chordata; Mammalia; Proboscidea; Elephantidae
Rfam family: tRNA
About the family: Transfer RNA (tRNA) molecules are approximately 80 nucleotides in length. Their secondary structure includes four short double-helical elements and three loops (D, anti-codon, and T loops).
Source: Rfam by way of RNAcentral
GUCUGAGUGUUGCAAAUGGUCAACACAUUUGGCUACUAACCAAAAGUUUGGAGGUUCGAGUCCAUCCAGAGGCA